This 1917-nucleotide long non-coding RNA is filed under the name Homo sapiens (human). RNAcentral describes it as "non-protein coding DLGAP1-AS1:12". The record is from RNAcentral. Lineage: Eukaryota; Metazoa; Chordata; Mammalia; Primates; Hominidae.
GGCCCAGCUACCCAGAGAGUGUGCCUCAAAGCCCCACCUCAAAGCUUUUAUCUCUAUGUGGCGGGAAACACCCACGAAAAUGCCAACGGCGGUAUUUGUAACUUGCCUUCUUCCUUUUGGGAACUGCUUUCUGCAGCUCUCUCUGCGUUAGAGGAAUAGCUACAGCUGGGAGCUGCUCCAGCCACGCAGGAGGAGAGGGCACCCAUUGAGAGGCGGGCACCCCUUCUGUCUCCCUCUGGCUAUGUUAACUGGAAACUAGGAAAGGGGUUCAGAUCAAAGUAACUGCUGUCUUCAGAAAGUUCCAUUCAUUAACUAAGUUAGCGGAAAUUAAAUGGUGUUUGGAGGAAGGUCAUUUCAGAAGGCCCAGGGCCAGAGGCUGAGGUCUAAAACUUCUAAUCUGGACUUCUAUUGAAGUUUGGCAGUAAGUUAAACAGGAAGUUGAAGGCUACCAUAUGUAAAUCCAGUUGUUGCCUGAAAUCAGUCAUUUCAAGGGAGUAUCUUGAAAGGACACAGACUGGGAAACAGGCAUGAGAAAAAAAAAAGGAAGUAGACAGACAUUUGGCUAGUAUGUGCCUGGACCACUUAACACUAAAGAUUAGAAACCUAGGGCUCUGAGUAAGAAUCAUUUGACCAGUAGCUAAAGUGAGUCAUGGCCUGCACAGAACUAGGGCACACAUGUUGAAGUCAGGAUGUUGAGAACAUCAGGCUUACUAAUUUGCAAGGCAGGAGUGCUGCUUCCAGUAGGGAAUGUGAUCAGGAUUUCACGGCUCAUUUUCCCAGCCUUUCCAACAGGUGCAAUCAAGUCAUCCGUGUACACAAGUGACUGCCCUGUUACAUCUGUUAGGAUUAAAUUUCCAUUUGUUCCAUUACUUUAUAUGAAGUGAUUUCUACUGCUGAGUCAGACAGAACACUUCCUCUUAGACCUAGGGACUUUUUUCAACAUUUUUAACAAUGUGUGUGUUUUUCAAAAUGUGUCCCAACCAGGUCUGCAGGUCUUCCUGGGUUGAAUGGACUGUUUACAGAAGGGGAAGAUUCAGGCCCAAGGUCAGGGUUACAGAAUUAUAUAAGGUUUCCUGUUUGGGCAGCUGGUCUAGCAACACCUCUGGUUGGGGCAGACUGGGUCUUGUUGAGAGAUAGCAUGCCCAGGAGGCUAGGGCAGGGAGAGUGCCAGGAGCAGGAAAGAACAUUUUUCUUUUCUUUUUUUUUUUAAGACCGUGUCUUACUCUGUCACCCAGGCUGGGGUGCAGUGGUGCGAUCUCGGCUCACUGCAACCUCCGCCUCCCAGGUUCAAACGAUUCUCCUGCCUCAGCCUCUCGUGUAGCUGGAAUUACAGCCGCCCGCCACCAUGCUUAGCUUAUUUUUAUAUUUUUAAUAGAGACGGGGUUUCACCAUGUGGGCCAGGCUGAUCUUGAACUCCUGACCUUAGAUGAUCUGUCUGCCUCGGCCUCCCAAAGUGCUGGGAUUACAGGCUUGAACCACCAAGCCCGGCCUGACAUUUUUCUUUUAAAUCUUUUAUCAACCAGCUUUCAUUUCUUGUCAGAUGUCACUUUUCAGCAACCUGUUGCUAUAUUCUCUGUUAGGAGAACUUUUUUUUUUUUUUUCUGGCCAGACUGAGAGAAAGGAAUGAAAGGAUGGAAGAAUUACAAGAUCAGGCACUGCUGUCUGUCUGUUCCACGGAUGUAACCACAGCACACGCGUGGCUCACGGUACUAGUGUGAUAAAUGCUUGUUACAUGAAGGCGUGAACAGGGAUGAGAAGAGACUUCCUGGAGAAACAAAAGGACUAACAAUCAGGAAGGGGAGGUGAUCGGGGCAGGAGUAAAGUGGACACCUCAGCAAAGCCAUUCGCUGUGAUCUCUGAUUGUGCAGUGUCAUGUCCUGUCACCAGAGCCCCCUCGUGUUUGAUGUUGGCCAAUGC